RNAcentral lists this long non-coding RNA (1190 nucleotides) under Crocodylus porosus (Australian saltwater crocodile). Its description in RNAcentral is "lncRNA (ENSCPRG00005009899.1)". The record is from RNAcentral. Lineage: Eukaryota; Metazoa; Chordata; Crocodylia; Crocodylidae.
AAGUAAUCAUUCUCCCAGUCAAUCUCCUGUCCUCAAAGCAGUCAGAUUUUUAGGGCAUUGUCAUUAUUAUCACUGGAUAGUUGUCUUUAUAAAAGAAUGGAGACUGCAGCUGGUGUGGCUCACUUUUCUGUUAUUUACUGUUGACUUGAUAGCCAUGUAAGGAUCCCCUGCCUUACUAAACCUAUAGCUACUUAUAUGCAUGGCCUGCUAGGAAUUAUUUUAAGUAGGCCCUCUUCUACAAAGAGGCAUAUUAUACUCAGUCACAAGACACUACAAAGCCCAUUCUGGGUAGGCAGCCAUGACUCCCGUUGAGUCUUCCAGGACUGAAGAAGGACUGCAGAUCUUUAAUACCAUGACUGAAAUGUUUUAUCUGUAACCUAAGCUGCAGCAACGAAAGACAUCAUCAGAGGGCAUUAUCAAAGCCAAAGGGGGAGCAACGUUUUUGGCAGGGAGAAGUCAGGUGUCUGAGUAUCUGAGAGAUGAGCAGAUCUUCAACAAAUUUGGGAAGCAGCUGAAGAAAGGAUGUCCACCAGUAGUUAGUGGAUGUGAAGAUAACUUCAUUUCCUGCCCAGUAAGCAAAGAAAGAAAAAGUCUACUCUGUGGGCUGAAUUUUGUUCUGUAUAUUAACAUCUGUCGGAUGACUGCUGGAAUAAGAACACUUCAGCUUCAUGGCUUUUUUCCACACUAACAGCUGGCCUGGCAGACUCUUGAGAGCACAUGGCAGAGGGAAGAGAACUGUGCUACCUUAGGGAACCUGAGGUUUUGUUCCACUUUCGUAAAGAAAAAUAAUUAACAUAACAUACUGCAAAGUAAAGGAGGAAAAUCCAUCUGGAGGUUUGGGUGAGAAACCACUUGAAAUUAAUUCUCAAGUUUCUUAAUGUCUUCAAAAACUUUUGGUCAGAUUAUUACCUUAUAUUACUUGGCUGCUUACCUGUUAUUCUUUAGGUGGCUGGGGUUAAGAUGUGGUAGAGAUUUGCUAGAAUGGCUUGGGUCUACUCUGACCUAGAGACAGAAAAUCAUUAUGAAGAUAUAGAUUAUUUGGGUCCUUAAAAAAAACCUGGUGGCCUCUCAACUAAUUCAGCUUGUGGGCUGUUACCUAUGUUAUAAAAACCACCAGCUAUUUGGUUGACACUGCCAUGUGGGUUUUCCCUCUCCUUUAAGCUUAAUGCAGGAUUUGGAUUGAAUGUUAA